AGACCUGAUGGGCAAGGGCACUUUCUCUGCCACCCCACCCCACCCAUCAGUGGCACAGGUAGGUGGGACAGAUGGGGGAUCCACAUUUGGAAGAGGGAUGCUGUGCGUAGAGCUGCCCUCCCCUGGCUGCCCAGGGGACACAUCCUCAAGGGGAUGCUGACAGAGGCUGGCAGCCCCUGGUUCAAAUCCCAUCCACUGCCAGGCUGGCCAGGGCCACAGAGAGAAGGCAGACAGACCAGCUGAGGCCUGGAAACGACGUGCGAGAAGGGGCAGGUAAGAGACCUUAGGACUAUGUGCCCGGAGAGGAAAGUCAGAUCGAUGCAGGGUAGCUUGUUCUAUGGGCCUCCGGGAGCCACAGAGAGGACAAGGUGAAGAGGGCUCUCUAAUAGCCAUGACCACCCAAACCUGGAAGGAGCCACUCAGGAGGUAGCACCUGUCUGAAUCUGUGUGAGCAAAAGCUGGAGUUGCCUUGGUGGGGGGAGCCCUCUGUGAAGCCGCAGAAAUGAUGAUCCUGCCUUGUCCCUCUUCCCCCAUUGCUUCUGGUAGACAGCCUGACUCCCUGGUCUCGUACACAGGGCUGGCACACAGCCCAGGCUGGACACCUCAUAGCACCCGUUUCGCUGGACUCAGUGACUGGUCCAGGGAUGGGAAUGGGACUGAAGACAGGCCAGUGACGGGGACAGCAGGAGGUGCCUGAGGCAGUGGCUGGGAGGGUGUGGUGAAUUUUAUUUCACUGAGCAGUUGGGCUAGCUGUGUUGUUGCAGUAUAGACAGUGUACAUGGGCAAGACUUAGGAGAGGUGAUAAAGUGGGGGAGAGCACAGUGAGCACGUCGGGAGGCUGAAGGGCUCUGGGAGAAAAGAAGAGGACAGAGAGGAGAAAUGGCUGCCAGGGUAGGGAAUGCAGCUGUUGGAAGAGGGAGAUGGCCAAAGAGGAGACGCAAACUUUUAUCAUGUGAUGUGCACUGUCCUCUCCCUCCCCAAGAAACGUUUAGCAAACAGUGCCAUUCAAGUGGGACCCGCUCUUUGCCCUCGAAACACUGAUGUUCUGAGAUGAAAUUCAAGACACGAAAUGGCAAAAUAAGGGCCCCAGGGACAGGUGGCCAAAGAUACAAGCCCAGAGCCAACCCUGACUGUGUCCUAGCCACAUGGAGAAACCCGUGUGCAGCAUUCGAGGCUGAAGCUCAGGAGUAGGCAAGACUGGAUAGUGGGAGAGGACCCGGUCACCCAGGAGACCACUUCUGGCCCUGCCUUGAGACUGCUUCUGUGACCUGAUAACAUUUCCAGAUGUGCCUGACCCACAUCCCAAGCGUUUUGACUGACACAGGCUGCUCCCAGUUUUGGGCAAGGAUGCCGUUUGAUGCUCGGACCUGAGGCCACGGCCCCCUGCUGCCUGACUCCCCUCUGUGACUGGCGCCCUGGGCACGCACCUGCAGCGUGAUGUUGGCCCGUGGCCAGUUCUGCAGAUCGGUGAACUGCAGUCCUGGAGAUAAAUCACUAAACAUCUUGGGAAACUGGACCCUUAAAGCAACAGAAGAUGCUCCUAAUGAACACUUUCCCCGAGAGAACAAGCCAGAAGGAUACUGAAGACAAGAAAAGAAAAAACAGACACGAGCAAAAGAGAGAAGACUCCAAUUACUAAACAAAUACAAGAGGGGACAGUACUUCCGGCAGGUAGUUCUGACACAGCAUACAUCCUGUAGCGUCAGCAUUCACAACAGCCCAAAGCGGAAAUAACCCAAAUGCCUGUCAGCGGAUGAAUGGAUAAACGAGUGUGGUCUAUUCAUGCAGCGGAAUACUAUUUGGCCACAAAAAGGAAUGAAGUUCUAAUACAUGCUCCCACAUGGAUGAACCUCAAAGACAUGACGCUAAGUGAAAGAAGCCAGUCACAAAGGACCACAGAUUGUAUGAUUCCAUUUAUAUGAAAUCUUCAGGAUAAGGAACUCUACAGACAGAUACCAGAUUCUUGGUUGCCUGGAGCUGAGAUGGGGGGCAGUGGGGUGACAGAUAAGAGGUAUGGAGUUUCUUGUUGGAGUAAUGAAAAUGUUCUAAAAUUGAUUAUGGUUAAUGCAUGCAAAAUCCUGAUAAUAGAGUACAAGCCACUGAAUUA
Long non-coding RNA from Neofelis nebulosa (Clouded leopard), 2107 nucleotides. RefSeq lists it as uncharacterized. NCBI's taxonomy places the organism in Eukaryota, Metazoa, Chordata, Mammalia, Carnivora, Felidae. The record is from RefSeq and is a predicted model, not a curated record. The transcript has 3 exons.